GGAGGAGGCAAAGAAGAAGGAGCAAGGUUAUCCAGAAGAGCACCAACUGAAUUGGUGAUCACUUUUUUUUGCUCUGGGAGAGAGUAGGGGGAGAGCAAACCGCAGAAAACGAGAAAAGAUAUAUUCAUUUCAGGGCGGCCG
This is a non-coding RNA of Caenorhabditis elegans, 141 nucleotides long. The record is from Ensembl. NCBI's taxonomy places the organism in Eukaryota, Metazoa, Nematoda, Chromadorea, Rhabditida, Rhabditidae.